Molecule: long non-coding RNA, 1065 nt
Filed under: Heterocephalus glaber (naked mole-rat)
Lineage: Eukaryota; Metazoa; Chordata; Mammalia; Rodentia; Bathyergidae
Description: lncRNA (ENSHGLG00100050370.1)
Source: RNAcentral
AUUGCUUAAUUUGAAACUAUGUUUCAAGACAAUGUUACAUUGAUUAGGGAAUUAGAAAAGAUGUACCAUAGACAAUAUAUCAUAUAACAUGUUGUCUGAAACCUGAUUUCCUACCUUCUAUGAGUCUUGAUUGGAAAUUCACUUGGUAUGUCAGUAUACAGCUGAAAGUAAAACCAUGGAGAUAGCUUAUCCAGGAGUCAAAUUGAAGAAUAUUGAAGACCGCAGAAAUAAACUUUGGAGCUAAUUUAAUAAUAUAGCACAUCCUUUUUCAAUAAUGUUUUACUUAUUAGAAUAGUUUGUGAGCACUCAUGCUUCUCCUAGAAAAUAGAAUAAGAAAGCCUGAAAUUGUUACUUGUUCAGAAUACUAAUGAUCUUUGUUUCACUGUCUCUAGCUUUCAAAGAAAGGACUAUCAUAUAUUAGGAAUCAUUAUUCAAGAUCAAUUUUGGCCAAGAAUCAAACUGAUCAAACAUUUUGAAGACUUUGUGUAGAGGCUCUGCCACUGAAUUGCAAACCCAACUCGGCUGAGACAAAUUUCAUUUCAAUCCACUCCAUGACCCAGCCUCAGUCAAAGAUUGGUAGAUACUUCAACUUAACAACUAAUAGAGAUAAAAGCACUGGCCAACCACCUGGAACCAAAUAUAUGUGCCUAGCAAGGACCUGAAAACCUAUUCUUGGACAUUUACUUUCAUAGCAACAAGAGAGAGAAAUAAUACAAAAUUUAUAAACACUGCCCUAAAGGAAGGCAAUAGCAUAGAUCACUCCUAUAUCCUGUCAGAUUGGAUAUGGCUAACAAGUCAAACUACAGAGCCUUUAUCCCACAUUUUCAAUUGUCAACAUCACUUCUUCCUGAACUAACAAAGGGACUGGCCCUACUCUUGAAAGACCUUUAGAGAAAGCAGAUCCCUAAGUCUGUGAGAGGAUGCUCUGUGUCAAAACCCACUAAUCACAUCCAGAGAAGCAACAUGAGAAACUACACUAUGAAGUCCAGUUGAAAUGAAACUUAACAUCACACACACACACAUACACACACACACACACACACACACACAAAACCAUUAGUCUAG